Molecule: long non-coding RNA, 1191 nt
Organism: Chinchilla lanigera (long-tailed chinchilla)
Lineage: Eukaryota; Metazoa; Chordata; Mammalia; Rodentia; Chinchillidae
Exons: 4
Source: RefSeq, a predicted model, not a curated record
UUCCAAGCCCAAGACCUACUGAUUCUGCAAUUGUGGCGUCGCUGUUUCGGAUGUGGGCGCCCACCCAUAAUAGUCAGAGAGAACAAGGCUGGCAAGUAACCCCACACCUCUCUUUCUCUACAAGAACUUAUAAGCAACGUCAAGGACAGCAGGCCCUGCAUCCGGGCCACUUGGGAAGCGCCCUCUCCCUUAGCCACACCCCCGAGUCUCCGCUCUUUGAUCUUGGAGGAGGGACUUUGCUGUGCAUCUAGCCUCAGUGAAGAUUCUGAUUUGUGAUGACUCUGCUCCUGCUCUUCCAAAUGAGGGUGGUAUCAGGGCUCCACCCAUCAGGAGAUAAGGGAAAUAGAAUGCUCUCUUAGAGUCUCCAAGUGCAAGGUUGCCCUCAUCAGGCCACUCUGGUCCGAGGCACCCAGUCUUUCCCAGCUAUCCUGCACUGGCUCUGUGCUGGCCAAGCUGCUAGCUGACAAUUUGGCUUUGCAGGACGCCACCUUCAGGGACACAGCGCCUGGCGGGAUUCACACCUCCAGGAGCCUUGGCACUUGGAACCUUCACUGCAAAUUGAUAUGCUGAUCAUGGCUUAGAUGCCCAUUCUCGAUUUCAUUGUAGGAGACCCUGGCUUCCCCCGUCACAGAGCUAAUGUGCACCUGGCCCAGGAGCAAAAGACGCUGAUGAGAAAACUAUCAGGAGCUGGAGGAGCCACCCGCCUGGUUGCUGCCUCAGCCCACAAGGUGGACCAGUGGAUGUUCCACAACAGCACCUGCUGGCCCUCAGUGGCUUUCUGAGAGUAAAACCCAAAGCAUUCUUGCUUCACUGCUGCCUUCCUAGUCUCAUGUGGCUCAUGCUAGCCUAGGACUCUGUAGGGAAAGUAACUCUAGGAAACCAGUUCUAGCCUAGCCAAGGUGGUAAGUCCUUGUAUAGUGUAAAUGCAGUCACAGCCAUGAGUGAGAUACUCAGGGACUGUGUUGAGACAGAAAAGAUAGCCCUUCAAAGGAUGGGCAAAGGGUGGAAACCUACUGUGGAGAAGGGGAAAGAGGAAUGAGAGGGGUAGGGAGAGAAUGGAGAGAGGGGUAGAGUUUCAGGGUCUAAAUGUUUGUGAGAAGGUGAGUCCCUAAGUGAUGACGAUGACAAUGAUGAUGGGCGUGAUCCUGAAUUUAAUGACUGCUACCUGUGACACCAACCAGUCAGAACGGA